GGCAAGGAAGUGGUAAGAGAAAAAUAAUAGGAUUACUUUGUUAUCCUAUAAAUUUUGGUUAGUGUAGUUGUAGAUAGCCUUAGCUAUGCAUUGCUCUCUUUGAAUUAGUGAACAUUAUCGGGUGGGCCAGAGGAGUUAUCUCAAGCAUUGGGCAUUUUUGGUACUUGAGUAAAUUAAACUAAUGUAUAAGUAUUCAUUAUGUAUAUUAAGUGUGUUAUGCCACUUAAAUUGUAUGAAUGCAUAUUGUAAAUAAAAUAAUGUUAAAUUAUGUUUAUAAAGUUAAUUGUAUA
Long non-coding RNA from Ricinus communis (castor bean), 290 nucleotides. RefSeq lists it as uncharacterized. Lineage: Eukaryota; Viridiplantae; Streptophyta; Magnoliopsida; Malpighiales; Euphorbiaceae. The record is from RefSeq and is a predicted model, not a curated record. The transcript has 2 exons.